GAGUAGCCAUGCACAGAUAUGUUGUGUUACUUGAUACAAUCUUCCAAAAUAGAGAUGGGGCAUUUCCUGCUUGCAUACCUUGAAGAUUGGCUUGCAGGCCUCAGAUCCUCCUAUAUUUAA
Molecule: small nucleolar RNA, 120 nt
Filed under: Marchantia polymorpha subsp. ruderalis
Lineage: Eukaryota; Viridiplantae; Streptophyta; Marchantiopsida; Marchantiales; Marchantiaceae
Description: Small nucleolar RNA snoR104
Rfam family: Small nucleolar RNA snoR104
Source: Rfam by way of RNAcentral